This 826-nucleotide ribosomal RNA is filed under the name uncultured bacterium. RNAcentral describes it as "bacterial SSU rRNA". It matches the Rfam family "Bacterial small subunit ribosomal RNA", at positions 8 to 854 of the family's 1533-position model. The record is from RNAcentral.
AGAGUUUGAUCCUGGCUCAGAACGAACGCUGGCGGCAUGCCUAACACAUGCAAGUCGAACGCUCUUGGGGCUUUGGUUCCAAGGGAGUGGCGCACGGGUGAGUAGCGCGUGGGAACCUGCCCUGUUGUGGGGGAUAACCGAGGGAAACUUCGGCUAAUACCGCAUACGCCGGUUGUCUUGAGAGAGAUGGCCGGGAAAGAUUGAUCGCAGCAGGAGGGGCCCGCGUCGGAUUAGGUAGUUGGUGGGGUAACGGCCUACCAAGCCUGUGAUCCGUAGCUGGUCUGAGAGGAUGAUCAGCCACACUGGGACUGAGACACGGCCCAGACUCCUACGGGAGGCAGCAGUGGGGAAUAUUGGACAAUGGGCGCAAGCCUGAUCCAGCAAUGCCGCGUGAGUGAUGAAGGCCUUCGGGUUGUAAAGCUCUUUCGCACGCGACGAUGAUGACGGUAGCGUGAGAAGAAGCCCCGGCUAACUUCGUGCCAGCAGCCGCGGUAAUACGAAGGGGGCGAGCGUUGUUCGGAUUUACUGGGCGUAAAGGGCGCGUAGGCGGCGAUGAAAGUCAGGCGUGAAAGCCCCGGGCUCAACCUGGGAGGUGCGCUUGGGACUACAUUGCUGGAGUUCGGGAGAGGAGCGUGGAAUUCCCAGUGUAGAGGUGAAAUUCGUAGAUAUUGGGAAGAACACCGGUGGCGAAGGCGGCGCUCUGGACCGAUACUGACGCUGAGGCGCGAAAGCGUGGGGAGCAAACAGGAUUAGAUACCCUGGUAGUCCACGCUGUAAACGAUGUGUGCUAGACGUUGGGGAGCCUAGCUCUUCGGUGUCGCCGCUA